AAGUCGUAACAAGGUAACCGUAGGUGAACCUGCGGUUGGAUCAUUAAUGAUUUUAUUAAUGGGUGAUUAAAUUCUAUUCACGUAGAACUUUUGAACCCUGAACCUAAUGUGAACUGUUAAAGUCUCUGGCGAGACUUUGAGCUCGCCAGUAUUAUCAAAACAUGUUUAGUAGUACCUAGUCUUAUUUUUAAUAAAACUAAUAUGAAACAACUUUUGACAACGGAUCUCUUGGCUCUC
RNAcentral lists this unclassified non-coding RNA (237 nucleotides) under fungal sp. RNAcentral describes it as "partial internal transcribed spacer region". The stretch from base 1 to 46 matches the Rfam family "Eukaryotic small subunit ribosomal RNA", at positions 1786 to 1831 of the family's 1831-position model. Lineage: Eukaryota; Fungi. The record is from RNAcentral.